Molecule: ribosomal RNA, 468 nt
Filed under: uncultured bacterium
Lineage: Bacteria
Description: partial 16S ribosomal RNA
Rfam family: Bacterial small subunit ribosomal RNA
Source: RNAcentral
GAUGAACGCUGGCGGCGUGCUUAACACAUGCAAGUCGAACGGAAAGGCCAGUGCUUGCACUGGUACUCGAGUGGCGAACGGGUGAGUAACACGUGGGUGAUCUGCCCUGCACUUCGGGAUAAGCCUGGGAAACUGGGUCUAAUACCGGAUAGGACAAUGGUUUGGAUGCCGUUGUGGAAAGUUUUUUCGGUGUGGGAUGAGCUCGCGGCCUAUCAGCUUGUUGGUGGGGUAAUGGCCUACCAAGGCGUCGACGGGUAGCCGGCCUGAGAGGGUGUACGGCCACAUUGGGACUGAGAUACGGCCCAGACUCCUACGGGAGGCAGCAGUGGGGAAUAUUGCAUAAUGGGCGCAAGCCUGAUGCAGCGACGCCGCGUGGGGGAUGGCGGCCUUCGGGUUGUAAACUCCUUUCGCUAGGGACGAAGCGUAUUUGUGACGGUACCUGGAGAAGAAGCACCGGCUAACUACGUG